CAAUCCGCUCCCGGGCCGCCCCGCGCGGCGCUGCUCGGCCGUGUCCGACAUCGGCGGCACAUCGUGCGGAGCGCCGUCUGUCCUUCGGGGGUGUCGCGGUUGUGCGUCACACGGAGGGGCCGCGACACCAAGCGGGAGAAGCUCAGCCCGGGGCUGCGGGUCACAACGGAGGAGCGCUGCGCUCACAGAGCUGCGCGGGGCGGGGAGCCGUCCUGACAAAGCCGCGUUGUGUCCAAACGCAGACAGUGCGGAAAGCGAUGGGUCGGGUUAAGGGCGGAGAGCCGCGCGGCAGAGCAAAACGGGGGUGAAGAGAAAGCUGCUGAAGGCCGCGAGAAGUGCCGCGUGCGGUGGGAUUUCCCGCUGAUCGCCUCCCGGCCCGGCCGGCCCAGCAGCGCGCAGAGAAGCAGCCACGGAGGAGCGGCGCCGCGCGGACCGCACCGCGUCACGGCCGGGACGUCCGGGAAGGGCGGCGCAGCCCCUCCAGCCGCGGCCCAUCGGAGCGCACUGCGCGGCCCGCACGGAAAUGCCGGCAUUGAUUCGGUUGUCGCAACGCGCCUCCGUUCCGGAAAGUUUUCUUGAGCUCCUAAGAAAGGGCUCCCGAAGCAUUAAGCUCCACAGGAACGGUCUGCUUGUGGGUUACCAGAGCUGGCAGGGAUGGGGUCAGGAGCAGCGGGGCACGGGUGUGCGGUCCUGCUGUGUAUUAAAUAGUGAUUGGAGGGAGAAGGAAAUCACGUAUAACAGCAGCACCGUCUGUGGGAGUCAGGUGUUGUUCUGCAGAGUAAUAAAGGACGAAGCUGAGUAAAAAGGGUCACAGAACUGCAGGGCGUGGGGAACCUGAGCAGCAGCAAAGGACUCGGUGUGAGCAGGUGGUGCACGCGGGGCACAGCCCACGCACCGGGUGGGCUCUGCUCUCUGCCAACACCUCCUGUGUCCGCGUGGGUGCCGUAAGAAGAAGGAAGCAAACGGGGAAAGAGAAAUGCAGGGGGUAGGAAGGGGCAGGCUGGAAACGAAGGAUGGGGGGAAGGUUCCGUCAGUGCCUGCAUCUGCGCUGUGCUGCUUCCUGAGCGCCGCGGUUCUCAUCAGGAGCUCCUAACGAGGUCAUGAACUGAGGGGCGAUCAAAGGGACUGCAGGGGAGCCCAGGAAAGGCGGCGAGGAGCAGAGCUGCAAAGAGGCACUCGGAGCGAGACAAUGUGAAGCCUUUAAGUCUUUUUGAGCGGCUACUGAGGUGGAAACAGCUGGGCUGAGGCGGAUGCUUUGAGACAGAACGUGGUUUGUGGGGACAGGACCAGCAAUGGAGACCUGAGUUUGGUCGGAACAGAGAGCUGGAGAAGACCUCUAUGAUGCAGGAUAAUUCUCUGCGCCCUCUCUGAUGGAAACCCCAAAGCACCCCUCUUCCCAUGCUGCUCUCCCACCUUGCCCAAUGGCAGGGCCGGUCAGCUGGCUGCCAUGUGCUCGGUGUGCUGGCAGCAGCUCAGCCUGCAUUCAGGGCGCGCUGCCUGCCCCACUGCUGCACCCACACUGCAGGACCGGGUGUGGUGGGUGCCCUCCAUCCAUCAUCUCCUGGGGCAGCACCUCCUGCAGUGCCCUGUGGGGCCGGGAGGGCCUUGGGGCGCAGAGCCACAGGUAGGGAGAGGAUUCCCACACCCAUCUCCAAGACUUAUCUGAGGCACAGCUCUGCACAGCGAUGACAAAGCCACUGCUGUCACCGAGCAGUCACCAAAUGACACAGCCUGAGGAAAGCAGGCUAUGGGAGGAGGAUGGGAGCCGGGCACACGCUGGUGGAGAAGACAGGCUGUGCGGCGUUUUGGAGUGCAUCCACGGUAGAACACGGAGCGUACCUCGCUAGCCAAAAACUGCCGAGAGCAUUACCUCCACGGGUACCCAAGGAGACUGAGAGCCGUAUUUGCACUCUGAAGGGUUCGUGAUGCAGCUGCUGCCAAGGCAGUGACUCAGGAGGAGGACAGAGCCCCGUGUGCCCCAUCACAGUGCCUCCAAUCUGCAGCUUCCGCUGCGAGCACACGGAGCAAAGCCUUUUGUGUCGCACUUAUCGUCAGCUCUGCAAGCAGGAAAGAAGUCAAAGCAGUUUGCUGUGAAUUGCUGGCUUCAGCAGUUGCACUUCCGUGCUGUCUCUCUCCUUCACAAGUAAAGUGAAGAAAUCCAUGUGCAGAGAGCCUAACAGUGAUCUUCAAGGCCAAAAAAGGCCAUGGACUUGGAGCCCGCAGGGCAGCUUGCAGGAGGUGCAGGCAGGGAACGUCUCGCCAAGAAGCCCCGGAGCCCAAAGGGUGCGGUCAGGGAUGGAGGUGGGAACGCAUCCCCAGCCCACAUCCCCACCCAGGUGACACUGCCUGGUUCUGCUCUCGCCGGGCGCUGUCACCAUCCCCCCCCCCCCCAGCAUGCUCCUUCUUGGGUGCCAUUUGGGCCCAAGAAACAGUGUAGCACGCCAUGACAUCAGACUGAGGGCUGUAAAUGUUGCGAGCACGGAAAGUUCAUUGCUGUAAGGCAGCGGUUCAUAGGGUAAGGCUGCUGGUUCCUGCUGAGCAGAGGCUGAGUGCCCCACAUCGCCCCACUGCCAACUGUGCCUUUCCCUGGGCUGCACCCACACUCAGUCCCAG
This 2613-nucleotide long non-coding RNA is filed under the name Gallus gallus (chicken). RNAcentral's name for it is "lncRNA (ENSGALG00010020628.1)". Lineage: Eukaryota; Metazoa; Chordata; Aves; Galliformes; Phasianidae. The record is from RNAcentral.